UACGUAGGGUGCGAGCGUUGUCCGGAAUUAUUGGGCGUAAAGAGCUCGUAGGCGGCCUGUCGCGUCGGUUGUGAAAGCCCGGGGCUUAACCCCGGGUCUGCAGUCGAUACGGGCAGGCUAGAGUUCGGUAGGGGAGAUCGGAAUUCCUGGUGUAGCGGUGAAAUGCGCAGAUAUCAGGAGGAACACCGGUGGCGAAGGCGGAUCUCUGGGCCGAUACUGACGCUGAGGAGCGAAAGCCAGGGUAGCGAACGGG
This 253-nucleotide ribosomal RNA is filed under the name uncultured bacterium. Its description in RNAcentral is "partial 16S ribosomal RNA". It matches the Rfam family "Bacterial small subunit ribosomal RNA", at positions 524 to 776 of the family's 1533-position model. The record is from RNAcentral.